AACGAACGCUGGCGGCAUGCCUAACACAUGCAAGUCGAACGAGAUCUUCGGGUCUAGUGGCGCACGGGUGCGUAACGCGUGGGAAUCUGCUCUUUGGUUCGGAAUAACAGUUGGAAACGACUGCUAAUACCGGAUGAUGACGAAAGUCCAAAGAUUUAUCGCCAGAGGAUGAGCCCGCGUAGGAUUAGCUAGUUGGGGUGGUAAAGGCGCACGAGGGCGACGAUGGUUAGCUGGUCUGAGAGGAUGAUCAGCCACACUGGGGCGGGGACACGGCCCAGACUCCUACGGGAGGCAGCAGUGGGGAAUAUUGGACAAUGGGCGAAAGCCUGAUCCAGCAAUGCCGCGUGAGUGAUGAAGGCCUUAGGGUUGUAAAGCUCUUUUACCCGGGAUGAUAAUGACAGUACCGGGAGAAUAAGCUCCGGCUAACUCCGUGCCAGCAGCCGCGGUAA
Molecule: ribosomal RNA, 449 nt
Filed under: uncultured bacterium
Lineage: Bacteria
Description: partial 16S ribosomal RNA
Rfam family: Bacterial small subunit ribosomal RNA
Source: RNAcentral